Molecule: long non-coding RNA, 243 nt
Filed under: Elaeis guineensis (African oil palm)
Lineage: Eukaryota; Viridiplantae; Streptophyta; Magnoliopsida; Arecales; Arecaceae
Description: long non-coding RNA (EGUI_LNC025861)
Source: RNAcentral
ACCGCAAGAGUAAGCUACGGCCAACGCAAGCUCUGCCUUGGCCACGAGCAUAAAGCUACGAUCUUGACCAUAAGUAUAAAGCUACGACCUCACCGCAAGUGUAAGCUGUGGCCUAUAUAAGCUUUGCCUUGACGGCAAGUAUGAAGCUAUGGUCUUGACCGCAAGUAUGAAGCUACAGUCUCACCACAAAUGUAAGCUGCGGCCUACAUAAGCAUGGCCUUCACCGCAAGUAUGAAGCUAUGG